Molecule: long non-coding RNA, 1541 nt
Filed under: Ananas comosus (pineapple)
Lineage: Eukaryota; Viridiplantae; Streptophyta; Magnoliopsida; Poales; Bromeliaceae
Description: long non-coding RNA (ACOM_LNC044061)
Source: RNAcentral
GAAAACAGAAGAUUUAGCAUUUUCUGUGAGAAACGGGGCAGAUAAAUUAGCAGAAAAUGCACAGUGUCAGAAAAUUAUGAAAAUUGGCGGAGAUGUCACAAAUAUUUUUAUGAGGCUAGAUUUAAAGUUUCAUACCAUUCUGACACCCGUAGAGAGAGAAAUAGAAUCCGAAAGCUAUCUGAUAAAGAUUGCAGUUCGGUACAGUUUUCAAUGACCAAACAGGGUCGGAAUUGAAAUAUUAAAAUUUCUUUGGACUUAUUAAGUAAAACCGAGCAUACCUGUCAAAUUUGAGUUCAAACGGACGUUCAGAAGGGCUCCGACGAAAAAUAAACUGCGCGAAGUGAAUAGUGCGUAGUUGAGGGGCAAAAUGAUAAAAAGUGUUUAAAACCCCUUUUCUUCUUCUCCUCCCAACCGUGGCUGCCCCAACCGCACACACCACACACGCAUACACAAGAACACACACGCAUGGAAAGGAAAGGAGAGAAAUCCCUUUCUCUCUCUAAAUCUCUCCCAAAAUGGAUGGAUUUGGUGGAGAUUGAAGCUUGGAGGUGGAUCGCCUUCGUCUUCUUCAUCUUCUCCAUGAUUUGGAGCUCGUUUUGAGGUGAGCUUCUUGAGCCCUUUAAUAGUGGAUCUUUAAUACUUGAUUUAAAUACCUUAUAAAUGAAUUUAGAGGAGUCUUAGCAUGCUAUUUAAAUGAUUAAUGCUUGAAUCAUGAAUCAAUUUAGUGAUUUCUUGCAUAGUUGUAACCUAGGGCUCCAAAAUUCAAACUUUCAAAAUAUGAGGGUUUGAUCUCAUUUGACCCUUCGUAAACCUAAUUGCUAGGUAACGAAACGCGUUGGCGAAGACGGUUCGGCAAUCCGACGAGCCGUUACAAAGUUAUUAAAGAAAUGGACGUUUAGGCUUCGGGUCCGCCGGGAGGGCCGAGGCGACGUCGUAAAAUCAUGGAAAUGGAUUUGAGGCAUCGUGGCACAUAACCGAAGACCUAUAAUUUGCGGGGCUGCGAAGCGGGGCACGGUUGAGGCGCAGUUGCAGUAUCGGGCCGUGCCGGAUACGGGUGCCGCGGGAGGCCGAUUGCAAGUGUCAACAAGCAAUCGGAACGCGAAUCAAGGUGGGUUGUGCUUACCGAAGCGACUAGGUCGCCUUUAUGUCUAAGCGAAUUAAGAAUCCUUGUUGAUGCAUAUAAAUGUAAAUGACGCAUGUACCUAAUGCUAAGUGAUGUAAUGUAGAAGUGCUAAUUAGAAUGCAUAAUGAGCAAGUUAAAUAAUGCAUGUUAAUGUAAAUGCUAACUAGAAAUGCAUAAUGAGCAAGUUACAUAAUGCUAGAUAAUGCAUAUACUAGUAUGAUGCAAAUGCUAAGUAGAUGUAUGCUUAGCAUUGUGAGAUUAUAUAUGCAUAUGAACUUGGUUGAUAACUCUAGCUUGAUUAGAGAGAUAACAUUGGAAAAUAGGAUUUGUAUAACUGUAAUACUUGCUAUGGACAAUUAGCAUGUGAACUAGAUCGAGUGGCAUCUAACUUAGUGUUAAAGAAUACAAGUCGUGAGUA